GAGAGUAUAAUCGAACUGGUUUACUAGAGUCUUAUAGAGGAACAGAGGAAUUGCAAGAGUAAGGAUGAAAUCUAUUGAUACUUGUAGGACCGCCAAAGGCGAAGGCAUCGUUCCAGGUAAAGACUGACGUUGAGGGACGUAGGCGUUGGGAGCGAAAAGGAUUAGAUACCCCUGUAGUCAACGCUGUAAACGAUGAGUGCUUAAGAUUAGUAUAAAUUAUUAAGUAAUAAUUAAGCUUUAAUGCUUUUUUUAUAAUAAAAAAAAUUAGUCUCGAAAUGAAGAUGUUAAGCACUUCACCUGGGGAGUACUGUCGCAAGGCUGAAACCCAAAACAUUAGACGGUCACGGAAACCAGCAGUGAAGCAUGUUAUUUAAUACGAUGAUCCGCGUACAACCUUACCACUUCUUGAAUGUCCUUUUCUGUAAAAAGAAAAGGCCUAUUUAAUUAAAGUAAAUUUAUAGCAGCACUAUCGGCAAAAAAUUUUUGUCUUAUUGCGCUGCGAAAAAAAAAAAAUAAAACAUUAAUUAAAUUUGGAUAAAUACAACAGGCGUUGCAUGGCUGUCUUCAGUUCGUGUCGUGAGAUGUCAGGUUCAUUCCGGUCAACGAAUGAAACCCUUCUUUCUUAAUUUUGCAGCAUCUUUUGAUUAAUUUAAAUUAAAUUUGCUGCAUUAAGAUGACCCUUGGAAAACGAGGAUAUAAUGGGGAUUAAGACAAGUCGUCAUGGCCUUUAUGAAGUGGGCUAUAGACGUGCCACAAAAGCUUUUACAAUGGGAUGCUAAGACGUGAGUCAGCGCUAAACCUUAAAAAAAGCUAUGUUCGGAUUGUAGUCUGCAACUCGACUACAUGAAGCAGGAAUUGCUAGUAAUCGUAAAUCAGGACGUUACGGUGAAGUCUUAAAUCUGUGAUGUACUAACUACUCGUCAAGCGCGGAAAGGUGCGUGGCCCCGAAGUGUUAUAAUUUGGCUCAUUUCUUUAAUAUUUUAAG
Molecule: ribosomal RNA, 985 nt
Filed under: Taphrina padi
Lineage: Eukaryota; Fungi; Ascomycota; Taphrinomycetes; Taphrinales; Taphrinaceae
Description: partial small subunit ribosomal RNA
Rfam family: Bacterial small subunit ribosomal RNA
Source: RNAcentral